This 402-nucleotide ribosomal RNA is filed under the name Triticum aestivum (bread wheat). RNAcentral describes it as "partial small subunit ribosomal RNA". Lineage: Eukaryota; Viridiplantae; Streptophyta; Magnoliopsida; Poales; Poaceae. The record is from RNAcentral.
AUGAUCUCAAAAACCGAAUGGGCUAUUCCAAAGUAUACAUUUGGUAUUCUUUUUGGGAACAGAAAAAUCUCUCAAGAGAUGGAAGUGUCGACAAAUAUGAGCUAUCCUCUAGAAGAGUUGAUAUCAAUGUUGGAACUUCGUGUGUCAAAUAUCCCAGAGCUAGGCCACCCUCCCGUCGAUACAACGGAGGGCGGCGACGUUAGGUUUUGGUUAUGUCCUGAGCUGGGCGACACCACAUCUGGCCCAGCGCCGGUGAGCGAGUCGGGACCGAAAGCCGGUGGUUUCGCGGCUUUCUUGGACUUUGAUUUGGAUCCUCCUUGCACAAAAGUCCCUAGCACCACCUGCACAAUGCCAAACAGGAUUAGAAACUUUUAUGUUGUAUGUCUGAAUCUUAGCAAAUGA